GUGAAUCAUCGAAUUUUUGAACGCAAAUUGCACUUUCUGGUAUUCCGGAAAGUAUGCCUGUUUUUGGGUCAGUUAAAUAAAAAUCGGUUUUGUUGCGGCCUUUCGUGGUGUCGCGUCUGAAUUGGGUCCUCUUACCUUUGUUUAAGUGACUUAAAAUUUUUUCAUGAUUUUCGUACUGUUUUAAAUCGCUUACGUACGUUUUAAACAUCG
RNAcentral lists this unclassified non-coding RNA (210 nucleotides) under Glomus sp. RNAcentral describes it as "partial contains 5.8S ribosomal RNA and internal transcribed spacer 2". The stretch from base 1 to 71 matches the Rfam family "5.8S ribosomal RNA", at positions 84 to 154 of the family's 154-position model. The record is from RNAcentral. Lineage: Eukaryota; Fungi; Glomeromycota; Glomeromycetes; Glomerales; Glomeraceae.